GCCUAACACAUGCAAGUCGAACGGUAACAUUUCUAGCUUGCUAGAAGAUGACGAGUGGCGGACGGGUGAGUAAUGCUUGGGAACUUGCCUUUGCGAGGGGGAUAACAGUUGGAAACGACUGCUAAUACCGCAUAAUGUUUUCGGACCAAACGGGGCUUCGGCUCCGGCGCAGAGAGAGGCCCAAGUGAGAUUAGCUAGUUGGUAAGGUAAAGGCUUACCAAGGCGACGAUCUCUAGCUGUUCUGAGAGGAAGAUCAGCCACACUGGGACUGAGACACGGCCCAGACUCCUACGGGAGGCA
Molecule: ribosomal RNA, 300 nt
Filed under: marine bacterium SIMO-IS124
Lineage: Bacteria; Pseudomonadati; Pseudomonadota; Gammaproteobacteria
Description: bacterial SSU rRNA
Rfam family: Bacterial small subunit ribosomal RNA
Source: RNAcentral